AUGAAGGUUCCGUCUGGCUUCUCGUCGAAUAUAAAGGGAAUAAUAAACAUGGCGGAGAAAAAGUUCCAAAACCUGAAGUCUCACGACUGCCACGUGAUUAUGACGCAAUUGCUUCCGAUUGCUUUGAGGGGGCUCCUACCGGAAAAUGUUCGCGUAGCCAUUGUGAAGCUAUGUGCAUUCCUCAAUGCAAUCUCUCAGAAGGUAAUCAAUCCAGAAGAUCUACCACGGUUACAGAACGAUGUGGUCCAAUGCCUUGUCAGUUUCGAGUUGGUGUUCCCACCAUCCUUCUUCGAUAUUAUGACGCACCUCCUGCUCCACCUAGUCGAAGAGAUUUUCAUUCUCGGUCCUGUAUUUCUACACAAUAUGUUCCCCUUUGAGAGGUUCAUGGGAGUAUUAAAGAAAUAUGUUCGUAACCGUGCUAGGCCAGAAGGAAGCAUCGUCAAGGGCUAUGGAAAUGAGGAGGUAAUUGAGUUCUGUAUUGACUAUGUUCCUGACCUUAAGCCGAUUGGUAUUCCUCAAUCGCGGCACGAGGGGAGACUAAGUGGAAAAGGCAAGAUCGGAAGGAAAUCCACGAUAUGUAUGGACGGUCAUUCUAUGACUGAAGCACACCACAAAGUUCUGCAAAAUUCCAGCUUUGUGGCUCCGUACUUCGAGCAACACAAGAAUAUUUUACGCUCGGACAACCCGGGGAAGCCUGAAUCCUGGAUUAGAAAGGCCCAUAUGGAGACUUUCGGCAGUUGGUUGCGAAAACAUUUAAUGAAUGACAAUGAUGUUGGAGAUCAGCUGUACAUGUUGGCCAAGAAACCAUCUUCGACUAUAACGAUUUUCCAAGGGUACGAGAUAAAUGGGAAUACAUUUUACACCAUCGCCCAAGAUAAAAAGAGCACCAACCAAAACAGUGGUGUCCGCUUUGAUGCAGCAACCGAGAAUGGGCGAAAGGUCACAUAUUAUGGUUACAUAGAGGAGAUAUGGGAACUUGACUAUGGACCCUCCUUUAAGGUCCCUUUGUUCCGGUGCAAAUGGUUCAAGCUAACAGGAGGUGGGGUAAAGGUGGACGAGCAAUACGGAAUGACAAUGGUGGAUUUCAACAAUCUUGGUUACCUUGACGAACCAUUCGUCCUUGCCAAAGAUGUUGCUCAGGUUUUUUAUUUGAAGGACAUGAGUAGCAAACCGAGGAAACGGAAAGAUAAGAAAACGAUCAGUACAUCAUGCGAUGAUCCAAAGCGCCACAUUGUUCUUUCAGGGAAAAGAAACAUCGUGGGAGUGGAGGACAAGACAGACAUGUCAGAAGAUUAUAAUAUGUUUGGUGAAAUUCCGCCCUUCAAAGUGAACACUGACCCAAGCAUUAAGUUAAAUGAUGAGGAUGCUCCAUGA
This 1374-nucleotide ribosomal RNA is filed under the name Triticum aestivum (bread wheat). RNAcentral's name for it is "partial small subunit ribosomal RNA". The record is from RNAcentral. Lineage: Eukaryota; Viridiplantae; Streptophyta; Magnoliopsida; Poales; Poaceae.